GACGAACGCUGGCGGCGUGCUUAACACAUGCAAGUCGAACGGAAAGGCCCUGCUUUUGUGGGGUGCUCGAGUGGCGAACGGGGGAGUAACACGUGAGUAACCUGCCCUUGACUUUGGGAUAACUUCAGGAAACUGGGGCUAAUACCGGAUAUGAGCUCCUGCUGCAUGGUGGGGGUUGGAAAGUUUCGGCGGUUGGGGAUGGACUCGCGGCUUAUCAGCUUGUUGGUGGGGUAGUGGCUUACCAAGGCUUUGACGGGUAGCCGGCCUGAGAGGGUGACCGGCCACAUUGGGACUGAGAUACGGCCCAGACUCCUACGGGAGGCAGCAGUGGGGAAUAUUGCACAAUGGGCGGAAGCCUGAUGCAGCAACGCCGCGUGCGGGAUGACGGCCUUCGGGUUGUAAACCGCUUUCGCAUGUGACGAAGAGUGAGUGACGGUAAUGGGUAAAGAAGCAACGGCUAACUACGUG
RNAcentral lists this ribosomal RNA (468 nucleotides) under uncultured bacterium. RNAcentral describes it as "partial 16S ribosomal RNA". It matches the Rfam family "Bacterial small subunit ribosomal RNA", at positions 28 to 507 of the family's 1533-position model. The record is from RNAcentral.